Molecule: ribosomal RNA, 252 nt
Filed under: uncultured bacterium
Lineage: Bacteria
Description: partial 16S ribosomal RNA
Rfam family: Bacterial small subunit ribosomal RNA
Source: RNAcentral
UACGUAGGGGGCUAGCGUUGUCCGGAAUCAUUGGGCGUAAAGAGCGUGUAGGCGGUCCGGUAAGUCCGUUGUGAAAGUCAAGGGCUCAACCCUUGAAUGCCGGCGGAUACUGUCGGGCUAGAGUCCGGAAGAGGCAAGUGGAAUUCCCGGUGUAGCGGUGAAAUGCGCAGAUAUCGGGAGGAACACCUAGGGCGAAGGCAGCUUGCUGGGACGGUACUGACGCUGAGACGCGAAGCGUGGGGAGCAAACAGG